GACCAUCUAGCGACCUCCACCAGUACCGUGAGGGAAAGGUGAAAAGAACCCCGGAAGGGGAGUGAAAAGCACUUGAAACCGUAUGCUUACAAGUAGUCAGAGCCCGUUAAUGGGUGAUGGCGUACCUUUUGUAGAAUGGACCGGCGAGUGACGAUUUCAUGCAAGGUUAAUCUGAAGAAGAGGAGCCGCAGCGAAAGCGAGUCUGAAUAGGGCGUGCAGUAUGAGGUCGUCGACCCGAAACCAGGUGACCUACCCAUGUGCAGGGUGAAGGUGCGGUGAAACGCACUGGAGGCCCGAACCCACGUAUGUUGAAAAAUGCGGGGAUGACGUGUGGGUAGCGGUGAAAUUCCAAUCGAACCUGGAGAUAGCUGGUUCUCUCCGAAAUAGCUUUAGGGCUAGCCUCGGAUGAUGCAUCGUGGAGGUAGAGCGACUGUUUGGACGAGGGCCCCUUGCGGGGUACCGAAUCCUGAUAAACUCCGAAUGCCACAGAUGUUAAUCCGGGAGUCACACUGCGAGUGAUAAGAUCCGUAGUGGAAAGGGAAACAACCCAGACCGUCGGCUAAGGUCCCCAAAUCCUUGUUAAGUGGAAAAGGAUGUGGGGCUGCUUAGACAACUAGGAUGUUGGCUUAGAAGCAGCCAUCAUUUAAAGAGUGCGUAAUAGCUCACUAGUCGAGUGGCCCUGCGCCGAAAAUUUACCGGGGCUAAACAAGGUACCGAAGCCACGGAUAGAACCUUUGGUUCUAUGGUAGGAGAGCGUUCUAAUCAGCAUAGAAGCCUGACUGUGAAGACAGGUGGAGCGAUUAGAAGUGAGAAUGCCGGUAUGAGUAGCGAAAGACAGGUGAGAAUCCUGUCCACCGAAUGACUAAGGUUUCCUGGGGAAGGCUCGUCCUCCCAGGGUUAGUCGGGACCUAAGCUGAGGCCGAACGGCGUAGGCGAUGGUCAACAGGUUGAUAUUCCUGUACCAGUUUCUUUUGUUUGACCGAUGGAGGGACGCAGCAGGCUAAGAUAUGCCCACUGAUGGAUGUGGGUGCAAAUAAUAAGUCUGGCGAUGAGUCAAAUGCUUAUCGCUAAGGACAAGUUAUGACGCGGAGGGAAGUACAGUACCGAAGUAUCUGACGUCACACUGCCAAGAAAAGCUUCUAGGGAGAAAGCAACUGCCCGUACCGCAAACCGACACAGGUAGUCGAGAUGAGAAUUCUAAGGUGAGCGAGCGAACUCUCGUUAAGGAACUCGGCAAAAUGACCCCGUAACUUCGGGAGAAGGGGAGCCCCACCGGGUUUUGCUUGGUGGGGCCGCAGAGAAUAGAGGGGUCCGACUGUUUAUCAAAAACACAGGUCCAUGCGAAGACGUUAAGUUGAUGUAUAUGGACUGACGCCUGCCCGGUGCUGGAAGGUUAAGAGGACCUGUUAGAUCUUUUGGGUCGAAGCGGAGAAUUUAAGCCCCAGUAAACGGCGGUGGUAACUAUAACCAUCCUAAGGUAGCGAAAUUCCUUGUCGGGUAAGUUCCGACCUGCACGAAUGGCGUAACGAGACCCCUGCUGUCUCAACCACAGGCCCGGUGAAAUUGCAGUACGAGUAAAGAUGCUCGUUACGCGCGGCAGGACGAAAAGACCCCGGGACCUUCACUAUAGCUUGGUAUUGGUGUUUGGUUCGGUUUGUGUAGGAUAGGUGGGAGACUGUGAAACCGUCACGCUAGUGGUGGUGGAGUCGUUGUUGAAAUACCAUUCUGAUCGGAUUGAGCAUCUAACCUUGGCCCAUGAUCUGGGUUGGGGACAGUGCCUGGUGGGUAGUUUAACUGGGGCGGUUGCCUCCCAAAAUGUAACGGAGGCGCCCAAAGGUUCCCUCAGCCUGGUUGGCAAUCAGGUGUAAGAGUGUAAGUGCACAAGGGAGCUUGACUGUGAGACGUACAUGUCGAGCAGGGACGAAAGUCGGGACUAGUGAUCCGGCACCAACGUGUGGAAGUGGUGUCGCUCAACGGAUAAAAGGUACCCCGGGGAUAACAGGCUGAUCUUNCCCNAGNGNNCAUANCGACGGNAUGGUUUGGCACCUCGAUGUCGGCUCGUCGCAUCCUGGGGCUGGAGUAGGUCCCAAGGGUUGGGCUGUUCGCCCAUUAAAGCGGNACGCGAGCUGGGUUCAGAACGUCGUGAGACAGUUCGGUCCCUAUCCNCUGCGCGCGNNGGAANNUUGAGAAGGNCUGUCNUUAGUACGAGAGGACCGNGACGGACNNACCUCUGGUNUGNCAGUUGUNCNGCCANGNGCAUGGCUGNUUNGCUACGUUCGGGNUGUGAUAACCGCUGAAAGCAUCUAAGCGGGAAGCCGGCUUCGAGAUGAGAUUUCCUUGCCCCUUUGAGGGUGUGAGGCCCCCAGCUAGAACACUGGGUUGAUAGGCUGGAUGUGGAAGCGAGGACUGAAGACUCGUGAAGCUGACCAGUACCAAUAGGCCGAUGACUUACACAC
Molecule: ribosomal RNA, 2456 nt
Filed under: insect metagenome
Description: bacterial LSU rRNA
Rfam family: Bacterial large subunit ribosomal RNA
Source: RNAcentral